UGAGUUGGUUGGUUGUUUUCAUCUGACUUCUCUGCUCAGAAAUUAUGAACCUGAUUUUGCCCGU
Molecule: long non-coding RNA, 64 nt
Filed under: Junco hyemalis (dark-eyed junco)
Lineage: Eukaryota; Metazoa; Chordata; Aves; Passeriformes; Passerellidae
Description: lncRNA (ENSJHYG00000016338.1)
Source: RNAcentral